RNAcentral lists this non-coding RNA (531 nucleotides) under Angiostrongylus costaricensis. Its description in RNAcentral is "Eukaryotic large subunit ribosomal RNA". It matches the Rfam family "Eukaryotic large subunit ribosomal RNA", at positions 2450 to 2985 of the family's 3401-position model. Lineage: Eukaryota; Metazoa; Nematoda; Chromadorea; Rhabditida; Metastrongylidae. The record is from Rfam by way of RNAcentral.
CUUGUGAUGAUUGGCAUCAUUAUCGCUGUGCUAUCCUCCCACUUAAUGUUUCAUCGAUUCUUUACUUAUUUGGUGAAUAGAGAAACGAGUUUCAACUCUUUCUUACUUGUCUUAGGUAAAGCGUGAUGGUAUUGCGCCUCUCACCGAAAACAUUGCCAAGCAGGAAGUUUGACUGGAGAGGUACGUCUGUCAAACUGUAACGCAAGUGUCCUAAGGCUAGCACCGAGAGCGCGAAAACCUCUUGUAGAGCAAAACUGCAAAAGCUCAUUUGAUUUUAACUUUCAGUACGAGAGUAGGCCUUGAAAACGUGGCUUAUCGAUCCUUCUAGUCAAGAUGGUUUCCGGUAAGAGGUGUCAGAAAAGUUGCCACAAGGGUAUUUAUCCUGUAGUAGCUAAGCGUCCAUACCGACGUUGCUCUCUGAUCCUUCGAUGUUGGUUCGUUUAUUGCUGCAAAACAGGCCUGAUAAGCGUUGGAUUAUUCACCCACUAAUAGCGUACGUAAGCUGGGUUUAGACCCUUGUGAAACAAGUUA